UACGGAGGGGGCGAGCGUUAUUCGGAAUUAUUGGGCGUAAAGGGCGCGUAGGCGGCUAGAUGUGUCAAAGGUGAAAUCCCUCGGCUCAACUGAGGAACUGCCUUUGAAACUGUCUGGCUUGAGGCCGGGAGAGGGUAGCGGAAUUCCCAGUGUAGCGGUGAAAUGCGUAGAUAUCAUGAGGAAUACCAGAGGCGAAGGCGGCUACCUGGACAAUUGCUGACGCUCAGGCACGAAAGCGUGGGGAGCGAUCCGG
RNAcentral lists this ribosomal RNA (253 nucleotides) under uncultured bacterium. RNAcentral's name for it is "partial 16S ribosomal RNA". It matches the Rfam family "Bacterial small subunit ribosomal RNA", at positions 524 to 776 of the family's 1533-position model. The record is from RNAcentral.